RNAcentral lists this ribosomal RNA (254 nucleotides) under uncultured bacterium. Its description in RNAcentral is "partial 16S ribosomal RNA". It matches the Rfam family "Bacterial small subunit ribosomal RNA", at positions 524 to 776 of the family's 1533-position model. The record is from RNAcentral.
UACGUAGGGCGCAAGCGUUGUCCGGAAUUAUUGGGCGUAAAGAGCUCGUAGGCGGCCUGUUGCGUCCGCUGUGAAAUCCCGGGGCUCAACCCCGGGCCUGCAGUGGAUACGGGCUGGCUAGAGGCAGGCAGGGGAGAACGGAAUUCCUGGUGUAGCGGUGAAAUGCGCAGAGUAUCAGGAGGAACACCGGUGGCGAAGGCGGUUCUCUGGGCCUGUACUGACGCUGAGGCUCGAAAGCGUGGGGAGCAAACAGG